UACGUAGGGUGCGAGCGUUAAUCGGAAUUACUGGGCGUAAAGCGUGCGCAGGCGGUUUUGUAAGCCAGAUGUGAAAUCCCCGGGCUUAACCUGGGAAUGGCAUUUGGGACUGCAAAGCUUGAGUGCGGCAGAGGAGACUGGAAUUCCUGGUGUAGCAGUGAAAUGCGUAGAUAUCAGGAGGAACACCGAUGGCGAAGGCAGGUCUCUGGGCUGACACUGAC
This 221-nucleotide ribosomal RNA is filed under the name uncultured bacterium. RNAcentral's name for it is "partial 16S ribosomal RNA". It matches the Rfam family "Bacterial small subunit ribosomal RNA", at positions 524 to 744 of the family's 1533-position model. The record is from RNAcentral.